AUAAAUUAAAAAAAAUAAAAUUGGCUAAAUUGAAUAUCUUUGUAACAAUAAUAAGGAUUUUAGUUUUAUAUUAUUUUUUAGCAGACAAAUGGGAAAAUUUCUUUUAACGAGGGCGAUAGAACAAGGAGAAUACAAACUGAAUCCAUAUGUUGUAAUUUUAUUAUAGCUGCCGCUUGUUGACGAAAAUCCAAGCUGCUUUGAAUUCAACCAAGAAUCUGAAGUCUGCACUGCCUGUUGUUGACCAACCACUGUGGCAGGCGGUUGGCAAGAUUAGCAGCCAAAUCUUUCAUCCUAAAAUACUGGUCAGUCCAAAUUGAUCAUUUUAAUUUUUAUAAAUCAUGCUUUGCCUCAGCAAAAUCUGCUUGUACCAUAUGCUCAACCAGGUUGUACAUUACCGGAAACCCCUUCUGCACAUUUGGAAGACGACAAAAAAGCCAUCUUUACUUCACCCAUGCACCACAAUUUUAAGCAUAAAUAAACAGAGACACUUACCAGAGAGGCAAACACACCCAAAAAAACAGAGCUUUCCUUGCAAAAGAAUUCAAUGGCUAUGGCCACUCACUUGUACACCUCUUAUUCUCCAAUCACCUCCAAGACCAUCACCACUAAUUACAACAGCAACAAGGCUCUUUCUGUCCCUUUACAUAAAUCGAUAGCCUCGCCUUCUCUUUCUCUGAGAACAACGGCCAGACUUUCCAUAUCAGCAGCUGCAGGAACUACUGCUUUGCAAGUGGAUGGACCCCCCACGUCUAGUAAAGGACCAAAGUCUUUGCCUUUUAGAGUGGGUCAUGGGUUCGAUCUCCACCGUUUAGAGCCUGGGUACCCUUUGAUCAUUGGUGGGAUUAAUAUCCCGCAUGAAAGAGGCUGUGAGGCUCACUCUGAUGGAGAUGUGUUAUUGCAUUGUGUAGUCGAUGCAUUAUUAGGUGCAUUGGGGCUGCCUGAUAUUGGGCAGAUAUUCCCAGAUUCUGAUCCCAAGUGGAAGGGAGCUCCAUCAUCUGUUUUUAUUAAAGAAGCUGUAAGACUCAUGCAUGAGGCUGGCUAUGAUAUUGGAAACUUGGAUGCCACCUUAAUUCUUCAAAGACCAAAACUGAGCCCCCACAAGGAGGUUAUCAGGGACAAUUUGUGUCAGCUGCUCGGAGCAGAUCCUUCUGUAAUAAAUCUGAAGGCAAAAACUCAUGAGAAGGUUGACAGCUUAGGUGAAAAUAGAAGUAUUGCAGCUCAUACAGUGGUUCUUCUCAUGAAGAAGUAAAGUAGUUCUUUAAAAACUAAAAAAUUUGGAGUUAGCCAUUGUACUUGGUUAGCGUUGUUGUCACUGUUACAGAGAUGAACAUAUGCUGGUUCUUUUGAAGACCCAUCUCACACUAGAACAAUUUCAUGAUGCAAGUUGACUUAAUGUCAGUUUCUACCACACUUGAAAGAAUAGUAUCUUGUCCCUGAUAUGUUGUUAUGAUGCCUGUAUUUAUAAGUCCAUUUUAUUUGGGGCAUUUGUCUUGGAAUUAUGUACAAUAAACAUCUGAAAACGAAGCAUUGUUCUUGAGAAGAUAGUUCUUGGACAAUUUGUUGUUUUCAGGACAGUUAUCCUCGCUAUCUUUUCUCGGUAAAAAGAAGGCAGCAAGUGGUUGAUGCGAUGAUCCUGUAUUGAGAAUUUAUCCCUGCUUUCAUAGUCCUCGAAAAAUUUGACGCUUUCACGAG
This 1692-nucleotide unclassified non-coding RNA is filed under the name Hevea brasiliensis (rubber tree). Lineage: Eukaryota; Viridiplantae; Streptophyta; Magnoliopsida; Malpighiales; Euphorbiaceae. The record is from RNAcentral.